CAUGGCUUCAGCUGCUCUCUCCUCAAAUAAAUGUUCCUGGUGAAAUGCACUGAGGGCAAGGAGUGGCCCUCUGUCACAGGCCCACAAAAUACCUGUAGGCCCCUGCGUGUACCAGGGAAGCUGGACAAGCCCUGCUUGCUCCCACCACCUUGUUUUUUUCCCAAAUUGUCCCUCUGAGGGCCGAAGCCCUCAGAGAAACUGGGCACCAGCAAAGUGCCCAAGGAGAGAUGGCAUCGGUGCCACACACUGGAACAAGGCAGAGCCGGCAGGGCAGCCAUGCUGGCCCUGGGUGGGGCUGCCAGCAGCCUGGGCCGAGCCUCCCUGGCUCCCAGGGGAGGCUCCUCUGACACUCUGUGUCCCGGGGAUUGGGAGGGAAACCCAGCAUGAGAAGGAGAAGGAGAGCCAGGGGAGGCACAGGAUUUUUUCAUUAUUCUCCAGGGAGGGAAAAGCAAACACUCUCAGAGUAGCAGCUAGGUUCCAGUGGUGCUGGGACCAAGUUUGGUGGCACACUCCAAGUACACCUGCUCAGGGAGAAUCACCUCUCUUCAUUUUUGUCAGAACACUACACUUGGAAUGGACACUUCCCCUGAGACAGCUGCUGUGUUUACCAUCCUCAAGAAACAAAAUGCCAUUGCUUCUUCAAUGCAAAACCCAAGUGCAGGCACAACUAAAGGCACAACAAUGACUGAAGUGGCCAAAUGUUGACUAGGAAAUCUUUCUGAGCAACACCAAUAGAGAUUUUCCAUCUUCUGAACACACAGCACCACCAGCCAUCUGCUACAUGGGAGCUCUAUAACUGGAGCUGACUGAAGCUUAGUCAAAAGCAUUGGCAGAUGGCAGGAGGGGCCCUGGGAUUUAGGGACAGGUGAAAGCUUUGGGGCAGCAGGUUGGUUGCUCCUGGCAGAUCCUAAAAUGUGGAUCCUAAAACUCGGCAGCAGAGCUGGGCCUUCCUCUGCCUCUCCCACUAAUCUCUCCCAGCAACUUUCUUUGCUUAGAUCUGAGCUGGCCUUCCUCUUAUGGAAAAAAUGAAAUUAUGCCAUUUGGUAGGUGAUAUUUCAGUCCAAAAGCUAAGGAAUACUUAUAUUUUACUUAUAUGGGAAGCUGGGAACUUCAGAAAAGAAAGAAAAAAAGGGACAAUGAUGAUGGAUCAGUGGUAGAAGGGAUUCUGCAGAACAGAAAGAAUCUUUUAAUAAGUUUUUAUUUUCUGUAUUUUGGGAAAGAGACAUAUAAUGUAUACAUACCAGAAGAUGGUGACGAUGUUGAUGGUGAUGAUGAAUGGUAAUGUCCCUUCCCAACUCAGGAGGAAAUCAAGUGGCAGCUCCAAAAGGCAGGCAUUUUUAAAUGGAUGUGUUCAGUUAACUUCUGACAGAAGCUGCUGACAAACCUCUGAACUACCAGAAACUAUUUUCAAUAGCUGAUGGAAGUUGUGAAGUGCCAGAGGUCUGCAACAAAGGCAGUGCUGUACAAUAUUUAAAAGCAUGAGUUAACCUGAGCAAUUACAGGUCUGUCAGCCUGACAUUCAUUUUGGACAAAAUAAUAAGCUAUUUUGUCAGCUGACAUGGAAUUUGUAGACAAAAACAAUUAAGGGAAUGGGGCAAUGUAAGGGUUACCAAUUAUUAUGUGUUUGUGGAAACUAGGUGUUUCCAUUUCAGUUAUCCAAAUCAUCUCUUAUAAUUGAAUUUAUAAUCUUGGUUAUCAAAAGUAAUAUAGUCAAUGCAAUACUAGUCUGUUUCCACAGGACAUCUACCUUCAUUUUGCAUGAGAUUUUGGCUAUGAAGCAGGAAUGAUAAGAAUCAGUACUGCAGACAUAAAAUAGAUCUGGCUGGUUGGUUUCAACAUACACUUGCAGUAAAAGAACACUAAUUGACUGGGUGUCUCUUUAUUGUGUCCCAUAAGGAUCUGUCCUUAGAUUUUACAAGUUAACAUUAAUCAGUGACCUGGAAAAACAAAAAUACAAAAGCAUUACCAAUAACAUUUACAAAUGACAGAAAGAUUGGGAGACAAGUUACCAAUGCAGCCUGAUCUAGGUUAAUCAGUAAACUGGACAGAGACAAAGAAAUAUACAGUUAAAUACACACAAAAAUUUAAAUUUUUGGGAGCUAAAUAUGCUGCAUAUAUGGGAUAUUGGAGUCCAUCAUGGGAUGCAAUUAUGAUAAUUAUAAUAGAUAAGCACUAAAGGUAAUGCUGUGGCUAAAAAAACCAACAGAAUUGGAGUUUAGCUAUAUGAAUGUGGUACUGUAGCAAUAGUACCACUUAGCUCUAUUUCAGAGUAUCAAGGCUGCUUCUGCACAGAUAUCCAGCAUUACAAGAUGAUGGAAAAAUGAUGCAAUCUCAAAGAGUAGCCAUCAAGAUCAUGAAAGAAGAAGAUGUGACUUUAAGUGAGCUAUACAAGGGCAAAGCCUCCUUCUCAGACCAAAAACAAAAAAACAAACUCCAAAGCACCAUCCAAAGGUAAAGCAUUAAGCAGCUUUUAAUUGUAGAAGGAAUUAAAAUCUAGAACAACAUUUCAAGAGAAAUAUUGCUAUUAAGGAACUUACCAGGUUGGAUUUCAAAGUGGGUUAAGUGCUCAUGUACAAUUAUACAAUGUAAGAAGACCUUGAAGAAAAUAUUUGGAGAGCUGUAUAAUUUUUAAGUUGAACUUUGUCUUGGGAAACUUCUGCUCAAUUAGCGUUAAGUCUAGACCUCUGUUGCUACUCUGCAUUCCUAAAACAUGUCUCCUAUUUCAAAACAGUUGAGGUUCUCAUAGCACCACAAUUUCUACAACACUUGGAAGCAUCUUUAAAAAAUGGUGAAACUUAUUUCUAUAUCUCAUCAGUAGAGUUGGUCACACAGGUAUCCAGGCUAUUUAAGCACAAAGCGUGCAAUAUAGGAAUUGUCCGUAAGAGCGCUCUAGACUGUAAAUCAAGAUUAAAUAAUUUUACAGCUCUAAGUCCUUGAGUGGCUAGAGUUUGAAAUGCUAAUGCCAUUAUCUCUAAGGCAUUAGUUGAGAAAGUUUCAGUGUGAUGCUACAAACUCAAUGAGGCCUCUGCAGACAUAAAAGUUCAAAUCAAGCACUUCAGCAUUUAGAGCACUCAUCAGAGAAGCGGGCGAUAUAGCUUCAAUUUCAACAUGAGAGAGAAAGAAAAUACAUCUUUCACAUAGAAGAGUGGCUUAAUCACUGAAGGAGGUGUUUCUUGAGCUGGACUCUACUGGCUCUGUCUGCAAUGGGGUGAACUUUUCAUACCAGCCUGUAUGGGGCUGUGUUUUGGAUUUGCAGCUAUUUGGAUUCACUUUUGCUCUACCCAUUUUCACUCCUUGUCCCCUUGGUACAGAGUGGGGAGGAGUGUGCAAGUGGCUGUGUGGGUGGUUGACCACUGGUCAGAAUCAAUCCUCCACUUGGAAAAAUGAAUACAUAAGUAGUUAUUGCAAAAUUCAGCAGUGUCACAUUUGACAGUAAUGCUUAAAAAAAUUAUAUUCUCAGCUUCUCAGGGAAGAGUUGAUCCAGAACCUCUUCAGUUAGUGUGAUCAGUGAGAUAACAUUUAUAAUAAGAACCUCUCUCAUGUGUCCUUCCUUGGCUCUUAAGAGUGGCCCAGGAUAAAACAUUUUCUUGAUGUUGAAAUAAUUCCAGUUGUCCAAAGCACUUUUCCAUAAUUAAUACAUGAAUUAAUCACUUAUGUCUAUAGCCUAGGCGCAGUAAAUCACCAUUUCAAGCUGCAUUAGGCUUAAGGUAAAACAUUUCUUGUUUUGUUUUGUUCUCUUCAUUUAACCUUGACACAUAUUUAGAUCCCUCUUUUCUAUUGGGUCUACUCCUAAUUAGCAGUGAAGCAGAACUUCUUGCUACUUAUAGAACUUAAAUGCUCUGGAUAAAAUCAAAGUUGCAGAAAUUAAAGGUAAAGCAUCUGUGUUUGCAGGUGUGCUCCACCCCUUCCCUCUUUUUAUUAAAAUGUAUGCUUUUGCCUAUUGGUGCUCCUGACUACGGUAUAGAGAACACUCUUUUCCCUUUAUUCUAAUUAACAAUGGACUUUGUCACCACAAAGAUCAUUAGCAGCAGCAUAAAGUUUCCCUGAGACUGAAAUUCAAAUAUGCAUUGCCAUGGAGCAAUUCUUUAUAGAGAUUCACACUUUUAGAAUGUAUUCCUGAAAUUUUUCUACACAAAAUAAGGCAAACUGAAGAAAUAUUGUUUCCAUUUGUAAGAUGUACGGGCUUUCCCUCAGGUUCUGUGUUUUAUAACCCUCUUUCCUCAUAUGCAUGAACAUUUUGCUUAUAUGCAUGUAUAUUUGCCUUGAAAUUGUAUAAUAAUUAAAACCAAACUUCUUCCUACAGAAAUCAGUGGCAAAUCUUUAAUGGACAUCAAUGAAAUCAAAUUGAAAGUUAAUCUUAUUCCUAUAUUAAAAUAAUCUAGAGGGAAAAAGCCAAGUACAAUCUAAUUGUAAUGACUACAAAGCUUUUUUAAAAUUCUUUGCCUAUCUGAAAACUAAGUUUUCAGCUUAGUCAGCUCAGGCACCUAGCUUUUUUCAGUCUAAAGAAAAUGCACUUGCUAUUGACUGAGGGCAUGAUCAUACAAUCUGUGUGGUUCAGAGAUCCUUAUGCCUGGUUUUCCAAACUACAAAAAUCUGGUGCAUGAUGUUAAAAACAUGAAAAGAACAGCACUGAAGAUGAGUGAUUUUGCAGUACUUGUAUGCUUUUCCAGAAGGCACUACGUUCUGAAAAUGAUGAAAAGUCAACUGAGCAUUUUAGAGACUGUUCUAAGUAUCAGUAUAGAUUCUGAGAUACAGGCCUGGGAGACGGAGUUGUAGGAAAGACUAGGAGGCAACAUACAGAAAGGUACAGGCUGUGAUUAUUAUGGGAUGGGAUGAUGAGACCUGGAGUCAGAGGCAAAGACAGGUAGAAGAUUCCUACAGGAUAUUUCCCUUUUUCUAAGGUGCUGAAUCAGCAAAAGCAAAUGAUUCAACAAAAAUCCUAUCAUCUCAACAAAUUUCCCCCCUAAACAAGGCAGCCCAGUGCCCUUUCAUGGUAGCUUCCAUUCACCUCCUGCAUGCUGCUGUUAGAAAACAAAACCUGCCUACUAAGAAAUGAAGCACAGAUAGUGCUUAUUCUAAAUAAGCUCUAUAUCUUUUUUUUUUAAUUUCUGUUUCACAAGACAUUGUGUGUUCCAAAUUUUAAAUCAGUAUUUGUUAGAGGUUAGACAAUUUAGGAUAUCAUCCUUCAGAGUUAAAGUUUGUAGAAGCAUAAGAAGCCGGACAACACCAAUAAAGCCGAUAGCCUCUUACA
Long non-coding RNA from Cyanistes caeruleus (blue tit), 5251 nucleotides. Lineage: Eukaryota; Metazoa; Chordata; Aves; Passeriformes; Paridae. The record is from Ensembl.